RNAcentral lists this ribosomal RNA (301 nucleotides) under uncultured bacterium. Its description in RNAcentral is "partial 16S ribosomal RNA". It matches the Rfam family "Bacterial small subunit ribosomal RNA", at positions 509 to 808 of the family's 1533-position model. The record is from RNAcentral.
CAGUAGCCGCGGUAAUACGUAGGUCCCGAGCGUUGUCCGGAUUUAUUGGACGUAAAGGGAGCGCAGGCGGUUUAGUAAGUCUGAAGUUAAAGGCAUUGGCUCAACCAAUGUAUGCUUUGGAAACUGUUAGACUUGAGUGCAGAAGGGGAGAGUGGAAUUCCAUGUGUAGCGGUGAAAUGCGUAGAUAUAUGGAGGAACACCGGUGGCGAAAGCGGCUCUCUGGUCUGUCACUGACGCUGAGGCUCGAAAGCGUGGGUAGCGAACAGGAUUAGAUACCCCCGUAGUCCCUGUCUCUUAUACA